RNAcentral lists this ribosomal RNA (1832 nucleotides) under Nodularia sp. CHAB 6563. RNAcentral's name for it is "bacterial SSU rRNA". The stretch from base 1 to 1482 matches the Rfam family "Bacterial small subunit ribosomal RNA". Lineage: Bacteria; Bacillati; Cyanobacteriota; Cyanophyceae; Nostocales; Nodulariaceae. The record is from RNAcentral.
AGAGUUUGAUCCUGGCUCAGGAUGAACGCUGGCGGUAUGCUUAACACAUGCAAGUCGAACGGUCUCUUCGGAGAUAGUGGCGGACGGGUGAGUAACGCGUGAGAAUCUGGCUUCAGGUCGGGGACAACCACUGGAAACGGUGGCUAAUACCGGAUAUGCCGAGAGGUGAAAGGCUUGCCGCCUGAAGAUGAGCUCGCGUCUGAUUAGCUAGUAGGUGUGGUAAAGGCGCACCUAGGCGACGAUCAGUAGCUGGUCUGAGAGGAUGAUCAGCCACACUGGGACUGAGACACGGCCCAGACUCCUACGGGAGGCAGCAGUGGGGAAUUUUCCGCAAUGGGCGAAAGCCUGACGGAGCAAUACCGCGUGAGGGAGGAAGGCUCUUGGGUUGUAAACCUCUUUUCUCAGGGAAGAAAAAAAUGACGGUACCUGAGGAAUAAGCAUCGGCUAACUCCGUGCCAGCAGCCGCGGUAAUACGGAGGAUGCAAGCGUUAUCCGGAAUGAUUGGGCGUAAAGGGUCCGCAGGUGGCUAUGUAAGUCUGCUGUUAAAGAACUUAGCUUAACUAGGUAAAAGCAGUGGAAACUACAAGGCUAGAGUGCGUUCGGGGUAGAGGGAAUUCCUGGUGUAGCGGUGAAAUGCGUAGAUAUCAGGAAGAACACCAGUGGCGAAGGCGCUCUACUAGGCCGCAACUGACACUGAGGGACGAAAGCUAGGGGAGCGAAUGGGAUUAGAUACCCCAGUAGUCCUAGCCGUAAACGAUGGAUACUAGGCGUGGCUUGUAUCGACCCGAGCCGUGCCGGAGCUAACGCGUUAAGUAUCCCGCCUGGGGAGUACGCAGGCAACUGUGAAACUCAAAGGAAUCGACGGGGGCCCGCACAAGCGGUGGAGUAUGUGGUUUAAUUCGAUGCAACGCGAAGAACCUUACCAAGACUUGACAUGUCGCGAAUCUUUCUGAAAGGAGAGAGUGCCUUCGGGAGCGCGAACACAGGUGGUGCAUGGCUGUCGUCAGCUCGUGUCGUGAGAUGUUGGGUUAAGUCCCGCAACGAGCGCAACCCUCGUUUUUAGUUGCCAGCAUUAAGUUGGGCACUCUAGAGAGACUGCCGGUGACAAACCGGAGGAAGGUGGGGAUGACGUCAAGUCAGCAUGCCCCUUACGUCUUGGGCUACACACGUACUACAAUGCUACGGACAAAGGGUAGCUACACAGCAAUGUGAUGCCAAUCUCAGAAACCGUAGCUCAGUUCAGAUCGCAGGCUGCAACUCGCCUGCGUGAAGGAGGAAUCGCUAGUAAUUGCAGGUCAGCAUACUGCAGUGAAUUCGUUCCCGGGCCUUGUACACACCGCCCGUCACACCAUGGAAGCUGGUCACGCCCGAAGUCGUUACCCCAACUUUUCGGAGAGGGGGAUGCCGAAGGCAGGACUGGUGACUGGGGUGAAGUCGUAACAAGGUAGCCGUACCGGAAGGUGUGGCUGGAUCACCUCCUUUUAGGGAGACCGAAUCCACUCAACAUCGAAAACAGACUGUGAUUAGAUACUGAGUUGGUCAUUCCUAGGUCGGUCGAGAAUUGGUGAAAGCUUUCAAAGUAUUUUUGGUUCAGUUCAUUCAUAAACAUCUAAAUUUCCCAUCGGAAAAGAUUCAGCAAUUGAUUGAAAGAACAAUCGAACUGCUGGGUGAUUAUCCAGCCAGAACCUUGAAAACUGCAUAGUAACGCGAAAAAAAAGCAGGCAGACGAAACUGAGUGCUGAAUACGGAGAUUGUGAAUACUGAAUCAAAUCAGUGGACAGAAUCAAGUAAACAGAAGUCAGAAAAGUUUGCAGAAACACCAAUGAAAAUGU